AGAGUUUGAUCAUGGCUCAGGAUGAACGCUAGCGGAAGGCUUAAUACAUGCAAGUCGAGCGGUAGGUGGCUUCGGCCAUUGAGAGCGGCACACGGGUGAGUAACGCGUACAUGACCUGCCUGUCAGAAGGGGAUAGCCCUGGGAAACUGGGAUUAAUACCCUAUGGUAUUGAUAUUAUGAAUGAUAUCAAUUAAAGUUGAGGCGCUGACAGAUGGAUGUGCGUCUGAUUAGCUAGUUGGUAGGGUAACGGCCUACCAAGGCGACGAUCAGUAGGGGGCGUGAGAGCGUGGUCCCCCACACGGGUACUGAGACACGGACCCGACUCCUACGGGAGGCAGCAGUAAGGAAUAUUGGUCAAUGCCCGCAAGGGUGAACCAGCCAUUCCGCGUGGAGGAUGAAGGCCCUAUGGGUUGUAAACUUCUUUUAGAUGGGAAGAAAAUGCUAGAUGUAUCUGGUACUGACGGUACCAUCAGAAUAAGCACCGGCUAACUCCGUG
RNAcentral lists this ribosomal RNA (496 nucleotides) under uncultured bacterium. Its description in RNAcentral is "bacterial SSU rRNA". It matches the Rfam family "Bacterial small subunit ribosomal RNA", at positions 8 to 507 of the family's 1533-position model. The record is from RNAcentral.